RNAcentral lists this ribosomal RNA (275 nucleotides) under uncultured bacterium. RNAcentral describes it as "partial 16S ribosomal RNA". It matches the Rfam family "Bacterial small subunit ribosomal RNA", at positions 523 to 796 of the family's 1533-position model. The record is from RNAcentral.
AUACGUAGGGGGCAAGCGUUGUCCGGAAUUACUGGGCGUAAAGAGCUCGUAGGCGGCUCAGCAAGUCGGUCGUGAAAGCCCGAGGCUCAACCUCGGAACUGCGGUCGAUACUGCUGUGGCUAGAGUCCGGUAGAGGAGAGUGGAAUUCCCGGUGUAGCGGUGGAAUGCGCAGAUAUCGGGAGGAACACCAGUGGCGAAGGCGGCUCUCUGGGCCGGUACUGACGCUGAGGAGCGAAAGCGUGGGGGGCAAACAGGAUUAGAAACCCUAGUAGUCC